RNAcentral lists this ribosomal RNA (1453 nucleotides) under Acinetobacter junii. RNAcentral describes it as "partial 16S ribosomal RNA". It matches the Rfam family "Bacterial small subunit ribosomal RNA". Lineage: Bacteria; Pseudomonadati; Pseudomonadota; Gammaproteobacteria; Moraxellales; Moraxellaceae. The record is from RNAcentral.
GCAAGUCGAGCGGAGAUGAGGUGCUUGCACCUUAUCUUAGCGGCGGACGGGUGAGUAAUGCUUAGGAAUCUGCCUAUCCCUGGGGGACAGCAUACCCAAAGGAAUGCUUAUACCUCAUACGUCCUACAGGAGAAAGCGGGGGAUCUUCGGACCUUGCGCUAAUAGAUGAGCCUAAGUCGGAUUACCUUUUUGGUGGGGUAAAGGCCUACCACCGCCACGAUCUGUAUCGGGUCUGAGAGGAUGAUCCGCCACACUGGGACUGAGACUCGGCCCAGACUCCUACUGGAGGCAGCAGUGGGGAAUAUUGGACUAUGGGGGGAACCCUGAUCCUGCCAUGCCGCGUGUGUGAAGAAGGCCUUAGGGUUGUAAAGCACUUUACCCUAGGAGGAGGCUACUGACCCUAAUACUCUUGCAUAGUGGACAUUACUCUCCCAAUAAACUCCGGAUAACUCUGUUCCAUCCCCCGCGGUAAUACAAAGGGUGCGGUCGUUAAUCUGAUUUACUGGACGUAAAGCGUGCGUAGGCGGCUUUUUAAUUCGAAUGUGAAAUCCCCGACCUUAACUUGAGAAUUGCAUUCGAUACUGUGCAGCUUCACUAUGGGAGAGGAUGGGAAAAUUCCAGGUGUAGCGGUGAAAUGCGUAGAGUUCUGGAGGAAUACCGCUGGCGAAGGCAGCCAUUUGCCCUAAUACCGACGAUGAGGUACGAAAGCAUGGGGAGCAAACAGGAUAAGACACCGUGGUACUCCAUCCCGUAAAUGAUGUCUACUAGCCGUGGGGGCCUUUGCGGCUUUAGUGGCGCAGCUAACGUGAUAAUUAGACCGCCUGGGGAUUACUGUCGCAAGUCUAAAUCUCAAUGUGAAUUGACGGGGGCCCGCACAAGCGGUGGAGCAUGUGGUUUAAUUCGAUGCAACGAGAAGAACCUUCCCUGGCCUUGAUAUACUAGAAACUUUCGAGAGAUGGAUUGGCGCCUUCGGGAAUCUAGACACAGGUGCUGCAUGGCUGUUGUCAGCUUGUGUCGUGAGAUUUUGGGUUAAGUCCCGCAACGAGCGCAACCCUUUUCCUUACUUGCCAGCAUUUCGGAUGGGAACUUUAAGGAUACUGCCAGUGACAAACUGGAGGAAGGCGGGGACGACGUCAAGUCAUCAUGGCCCUUACGGCCAGGGCUCCCCCCUUGCUCCAAUGGUCGGUCCAAAGGGUUGAUACCCAGGGAGGUGAUGCUAAUCCCAAAAACCCGAUCGUAGUCCGGAUUGGAGUCUGCAACUGGACUCCAUGAAGUCGGAAUCGCUGGUAAUCGCGGAUCAGAAUGCCGCGGUGAAUACGUUCCCGGGCCUUGUACACACCGCCCGUCACACCAUGGGAGUUUGUUGCACCAGAAGUAGGUAGUCUAACCGCAAGGAGGACGCUACCACGGUGUGGCCGAUGACUGGGGUGAAGUCGUAACAAGGUAGCCGUAA